UGAGGAAUCUUGCGCAAUGGGGGAAACCCUGACGCAGCAACGCCGUGUGAGUGAUGAAGGCCUUCGGGUCGUAAAGCUCUUUCGGCAGGAACGAUAAUGACGGUACCUGCAGAAGAAGCUGCGGCUAACUACGUGCCAGCAGCCGCGGUAAUACGUAGGCAGCAAGCGUUGUUCGGAGUUACUGGGCGUAAAGAGUGCGUAGGCGGUCCUCUAAGUUCGGUGUGAAAUCUCCCGGCUCAACUGGGAGGGUGCGCCGGAAACUGGGGGGCUUGAGUAUGGGAGAGGAAAGCGGAAUUCCUGGUGUAGCGGUGAAAUGCGUAGAUAUCAGGAGGAACACCUGUGGUGUAGACGGCUUUCUGGACCAUGACUGACGCUGAGGCACGAAAGCGUGGGGAGCAAACA
This 402-nucleotide ribosomal RNA is filed under the name uncultured prokaryote. RNAcentral describes it as "bacterial SSU rRNA". It matches the Rfam family "Bacterial small subunit ribosomal RNA", at positions 355 to 774 of the family's 1533-position model. The record is from RNAcentral.